RNAcentral lists this ribosomal RNA (484 nucleotides) under uncultured bacterium. RNAcentral's name for it is "partial 16S ribosomal RNA". It matches the Rfam family "Bacterial small subunit ribosomal RNA", at positions 30 to 507 of the family's 1533-position model. The record is from RNAcentral.
AUUGAACGCUGGCGGCAGGCCUAACACAUGCAAGUCGAGCGGAUGAAGGGAGCUUGCUCCUGGAUUCAGCGGCGGACGGGUGAGUAAUGCCUAGGAAUCUGCCUGGUAGUGGGGGAUAACGUCCUGAAACGGGCGCUAAUACCGCAUACGUCCUGAGGGAGAAAGUGGGGGAUCUUCGGACCUCACGCUAUCAGAUGAGCCUAGGUCGGAUUAGCUAGUUGGUGGGGUAAAGGCCUACCAAGGCGACGAUCCGUAACUGGUCUGAGAGGAUGAUCAGUCACACUGGAACUGAGACACGGUCCAGACUCCUACGGGAGGCCGCAGUGGGGAAUAUUGGACAAUGGGCGAAAGCCUGAUCCAGCCAUGCCGAGUGUGUGAAGAAGGUCUUCGGAUUGUAAAGCACUUUAAGUUGGGAGGAAGGGCAGUAAGUUAAUACCUUGCUGUUUUGACGUUACCAACAGAAUAAGCACCGGCUAACUUCGUG